AUCCUUUUGUAGUUCAUGAGUGUAAUGAUUGAGUGUUCAUGCACAUGUGUGAGAUAUGCCACCCUUGAACCUUGUUACACUGUUGUCACAUUACCCGUUUGACG
This is a small nucleolar RNA of Macaca fascicularis (crab-eating macaque), 104 nucleotides long. NCBI's taxonomy places the organism in Eukaryota, Metazoa, Chordata, Mammalia, Primates, Cercopithecidae. The record is from Ensembl.